GGCCUGUUAGCUCAGUUGGUUAGAGCGUCGUGCUAAUAACGCGAAUGUCGUGGGUUCGACCCCCACAUAGGCCA
This 74-nucleotide transfer RNA is filed under the name Gigantopelta aegis. RNAcentral's name for it is "tRNA-Ile". It matches the Rfam family "tRNA". From Rfam's summary of the family: Transfer RNA (tRNA) molecules are approximately 80 nucleotides in length. Lineage: Eukaryota; Metazoa; Mollusca; Gastropoda; Neomphalida; Peltospiridae. The record is from RNAcentral.